This is a non-coding RNA of 312 nucleotides. It matches the Rfam family "Archaeal signal recognition particle RNA". The record is from Rfam.
CGGCGAGUUAGGCUAGGGAGUUAGCGGUCCCCACUUCGAAAACCCGCUAUAUGUCGGGCCGAAGCUCCGGAGAGGCGUCUGGAACUAUCCGCCGGCUCGGUUCGCGGCGUAGACGCCUCGUCCUGCAGGGUCGCAGGUGAUGGACCCUCGGCCGGAGGGCUGGGGCAAACCAUCCUUGCCUGCUGAACCCGGUCAGGGACGGAAGUCCGCAGCCGUAGGCAGGACUGUUGGCGCUUGCGGGGUCGCGGGGCCGAGCUUGCGGCCGAGCGUCUGGCGGGUAGGAAAGGGCACCCAUCCGUAGCGCGCUCGCCG